Molecule: ribosomal RNA, 132 nt
Filed under: Megasphaera paucivorans
Lineage: Bacteria; Bacillati; Bacillota; Negativicutes; Veillonellales; Veillonellaceae
Description: 16S rRNA. Bacterial SSU
Rfam family: Bacterial small subunit ribosomal RNA
Source: RNAcentral
CUGGCUCAGGACGAACGCUGGCGGCGUGCUUAACACAUGCAAGUCGAACGAGGCUUUUCAAGAAGCUUGCUUCUUGAAAGACCGAGUGGCAAACGGGUGAGUAACGCGUAAACAACCUGCCCUCAGGAUGGG